UAAAAUUUUAUCAUACUGGUUUGUCACAGC
This 30-nucleotide non-coding RNA is filed under the name Mus musculus (house mouse). Lineage: Eukaryota; Metazoa; Chordata; Mammalia; Rodentia; Muridae. The record is from RNAcentral.